RNAcentral lists this long non-coding RNA (363 nucleotides) under Homo sapiens (human). RNAcentral's name for it is "HSALNT0123656". Lineage: Eukaryota; Metazoa; Chordata; Mammalia; Primates; Hominidae. The record is from RNAcentral.
GAAAACAUUCCAUCCUCAUGAAUUUGAAGAAUCAAUAUAAUUAAAGUGUCCAUGCUCCCUAAAGCAACCCACAGAUUAAGUGUUAUUUCUAUCAAACUAUCAAUGCCAUUUUUGGUGAACCUAGAAAAAAAAAACUUUGAAAUUCAUAUUAAAGAAUAAAAGAGCCCAUAUAGCCAAGGUAUUCUUAAAAAGAAUAAACCUGGAAGCCUAAUAUUACAUGACUUCAAACUGUACUACAUGCUACAGUAACCAAUAUAACAUGGUUCUGAUACAAAAAAAAUACAUCCUCUCCCUCUCCCUCUCCCUCUCCCUCUCCCGUCUCCCCACAGUCUCCCUCUCCCUCUCUUUCCACGGUCUCCCUCU